AGAGUUUGAUCAUGGCUCAGAACGAACGCUGGCGGCAGGCCUAACACAUGCAAGUCGAGCGCUACCUUCGGGUGGAGCGGCGGACGGGUUAGUAACGCGUGGGAACAUACCCUUUUCUACGGAAUAGCCUCGGGAAACUGAGAGUAAUACCGUAUAAGCCCUUCGGGGGAAAGAUUUAUCGGGAAAGGAUUGGCCCGCGUUAGAUUAGAUAGUUGGUGGGGUAAUGGCCUACCAAGUCUACGAUCUAUAGCUGGUUUUAGAGGAUGAUCAGCAACACUGGGACUGAGACACGGCCCAGACUCCUACGGGAGGCAGCAGUGGGGAAUCUUAGACAAUGGGCGAAAGCCUGAUCUAGCCAUGCCGCGUGAGUGAUGAAGGUCUUAGGAUCGUAAAGCUCUUUCGCUAGGGAUGAUAAUGACAGUACC
This 425-nucleotide ribosomal RNA is filed under the name Sulfitobacter sp. SKA60. Its description in RNAcentral is "bacterial SSU rRNA". It matches the Rfam family "Bacterial small subunit ribosomal RNA", at positions 8 to 479 of the family's 1533-position model. The record is from RNAcentral. Lineage: Bacteria; Pseudomonadati; Pseudomonadota; Alphaproteobacteria; Rhodobacterales; Roseobacteraceae.